RNAcentral lists this ribosomal RNA (319 nucleotides) under uncultured eukaryote. RNAcentral's name for it is "partial 18S ribosomal RNA". It matches the Rfam family "Eukaryotic small subunit ribosomal RNA", at positions 1470 to 1796 of the family's 1831-position model. The record is from RNAcentral.
CCCUUAGAUGUUCUGGGCAGCACGCGCGCUACAAUGGUCUUCGCAAACGGAUGCAUUCUCGAAGGAGAAUGCCAAUCUUGGAAUCUAUGCCUUGGUCGGGACAGUUGCUUGCAAUUUUUCGACUCGAACCAGGAAUUCCUUGUAAUCGUGAUUCAUCACAUCACGAUGAAUACGUCCCUGCCCUUUGUACACACCGCCCGUCGCUCCUAGCGAUCGAAGAGUUAGGUGAAUUGUUUUGAUCGAUAAGAUUUGACUAUGGUCAACUCUCGUUGUGAAAUUCUGUGAAUCUGACUGUUUAGAGGAAGGAAAAGUCGUAACA